CAAUUCUGUGUGCACGAGGAAGGUUUUCGAUUGUAAAGUGCUUUCAGCAGGGAAGAAGGAAGUGACGGUACCUGCAGAAGAAGCGACGGCUAAAUACGUGCCAGCAGCCGCGGUAAUACGUAUGUCGCAAGCGUUAUCCGGAAUUAUUGGGCAUAAAGGGCAUCUAGGCGGCCAGGCAAGUCUGGGGUGAAAACUUGCGGCUCAACCGCAAGCCUGCCCUGGAAACUGCCUGGCUAGAGUGCUGGAGAGGUGGACGGAACUGCACGAGUAGAGGUGAAAUUCGUAGAUAUGUGCAGGAAUGCCGAUGAUGAAGAUAGUUCACUGGACGGCAACUGACGCUGAAGUGCGAAAGCUGGGGGAGCGAACAGGAUUAGAUACCCUGGUAGUCCCAGCCGUAAACGAUGAUUACUGGGUGUGGGCAUGAGGAGUGUCCGUGCCGAAGCCAAUGCGAUAAGUAAUCCGCCUGGGGAGUACGGCCGCAAGGCUGAAACUCAAAGGAGUUGACGG
RNAcentral lists this ribosomal RNA (507 nucleotides) under Leptotrichia hofstadii. RNAcentral's name for it is "bacterial SSU rRNA". It matches the Rfam family "Bacterial small subunit ribosomal RNA", at positions 392 to 916 of the family's 1533-position model. Lineage: Bacteria; Fusobacteriati; Fusobacteriota; Fusobacteriia; Fusobacteriales; Leptotrichiaceae. The record is from RNAcentral.